The sequence is a regulatory RNA element, 94 nucleotides long. It matches the Rfam family "Tombusvirus internal replication element (IRE)". The record is from Rfam.
GGUUUGUGAGAAGGUUGGGGUAGCCCACCGACUUGGGUAUGAUGGGUUUCUGUCAUACUACAGCGGUGCGAAACUCCGUACUUACACACGAGCC